Molecule: ribosomal RNA, 301 nt
Filed under: uncultured bacterium
Lineage: Bacteria
Description: partial 16S ribosomal RNA
Rfam family: Bacterial small subunit ribosomal RNA
Source: RNAcentral
CAGCAGCCGCGGUAAUACGGAGGGUGCAAGCGUUAAUCGGAAUUACUGGGCGUAAAGCGUGCGUAGGCGGUUCGUUAAGUCUGUUGUGAAAGCCCCGGGCUCAACCUGGGAAUGGCAAUGGAUACUGGCGAGCUAGAGUGUGUCAGAGGAUGGUGGAAUUCCCGGUGUAGCGGUGAAAUGCGUAGAGAUCGGAAGGAACAUCAGUGGCGAAGGCGGCCAUCUGGGACAACACUGAUGCUGAGGCACGAAAGCGUGGGGAGCAAACAGGAUUAGAUACCCCGGUAGUCCCUGUCUCUUAUAC